RNAcentral lists this ribosomal RNA (251 nucleotides) under uncultured prokaryote. RNAcentral's name for it is "partial 16S rRNA". It matches the Rfam family "Bacterial small subunit ribosomal RNA", at positions 525 to 775 of the family's 1533-position model. The record is from RNAcentral.
ACGGAAGGUGCAAGCGUUAGUCGGAAUUACUGGGCGUAAAGGGUGCGUAGGCGGUUACAUAAGUCGGGCGUGAAAUUCCGGGGCUUAACCUCGGAGCUGCAUUCGAUACUGUGUGACUAGAGGAAUGGCGGAGAAAAUGGAAUUCCAUAUGUAGCGGUGAAAUGCGUAGAUAUAUGGAAGAACACCUGUGGCGAAAGCGGUUUUCUAGCCUCCUCCUGACGCUGAGGCACGAAAGCAAGGGGAGCAAACAG